AUGGCUGUGAAGGGGUGCUCCACCGAGCCGCCACCAGGGGACAGUACCGGGGAGGAGCUUUGCCGAGCCAGAAACUGCAUCGCCAUCCCUACUGAGGCUGCCACCGCUGCAAAUGAGCACUGCCGUUACCACCCCACCAAAGCUUCCUCCGGUGUGCGCCACGCUGCUCCACCGGGAGUGCAAAGGGGCGGCAGCCACCACGGAGGAGGCGUCUGCGCCGUUCUGGCUGCUCCAUUGAAUAAGGCUGUCGCCGGGAGCUGCUUCGCACUGUCAUCGCCACGCUGCUACCCCUGGCAUCCUGCACAAUGUCACCUGCGGGGUUCGCCAAUCUCCUCUCGGCACUCUACAAGACUUGAACGUCCAUGGCCGGGAUUGCUGGUGCCGCCUGCUCUCAGUGCGCGCGUCGCCCGUCCCGCAUGCACCAGCACCACCGCACCUCCCUUUCCUGUGUGCACUGCGGACACGCGGGUGCCGCCUUCCUCAAUGCAUGUGGACUGUGGGUCACCAGUCGCCAUCACAGGAACAAGCGCCGCCCACGCGCUGGGCUCCUCUAUUAGCGUCGCCACCCAGUCACGCGCGUUCCCGUCCGCACGGUCAAUGCUCUUGCAAGUGCAACUCCCUCUCUCACCUGACCGUGCACACUGCGGUGGCACUGGCUCUCUCUUAUCUAGCAACAGCUUCUCUUUUGCCGAUUUGGUGUAUCAAUUUGAAAUCUGUUUUUUUUUUGUUACAAUAAAAUGUCAGUGUGAUGUCAAGCUUGAUGUCAAGCUUAAUGCAGAGAAACCUUGA
Molecule: ribosomal RNA, 789 nt
Filed under: Triticum aestivum (bread wheat)
Lineage: Eukaryota; Viridiplantae; Streptophyta; Magnoliopsida; Poales; Poaceae
Description: partial small subunit ribosomal RNA
Source: RNAcentral